RNAcentral lists this small RNA (851 nucleotides) under Dendryphiella paravinosa. RNAcentral describes it as "eukaryotic LSU rRNA". It matches the Rfam family "Eukaryotic large subunit ribosomal RNA", at positions 50 to 937 of the family's 3401-position model. The record is from RNAcentral. Lineage: Eukaryota; Fungi; Ascomycota; Dothideomycetes; Pleosporales; Dictyosporiaceae.
GCGGAGGAAAAGAAACCAACAGGGAUUGCCCUAGUAACGGCGAGUGAAGCGGCAAUAGCUCAAAUUUGAAAUCUGGUCUCCUUUGGGGGCCCGAGUUGUAAUUUGCAGAGGGCGCUUUGGCGUCGGCAGCGGUCUAAGUUCCUUGGAACAGGACGUCACAGAGGGUGAGAAUCCCGUACGUGGUCGCCUGCCUUCGCCGUGUAAAGCCCCUUCGACGAGUCGAGUUGUUUGGGAAUGCAGCUCUAAAUGGGAGGUAAAUUUCUUCUAAAGCUAAAUACUGGCCAGAGACCGAUAGCGCACAAGUAGAGUGAUCGAAAGAUGAAAAGCACUUUGGAAAGAGAGUCAAACAGCACGUGAAAUUGUUGAAAGGGAAGCGCUUGCAGCCAGACGUGCCCGUGGUGGUUCUCCUCCGCGGGCAGGCCAGCAUCAGUUCGAGCGGUCGGAUAAAGGCCUCUGUCACGUAUCUACCUUCGGGUUGACCUUAUAGGGGAGGCGUAAUGCGAUCAGCUCGGACUGAGGUCCGCGCAUCUGCUAGGAUGCUGGCGUAAUGGCUGUAAGCGGCCCGUCUUGAAACACGGACCAAGGAGUCUAACAUCUAUGCGAGUGUUUGGGUGUCAAGCCCGGGCGCGCAAUGAAAGUGAACGGAGGUGGGAACCCUUUCUUGGGGUGCACCAUCGACCGAUCCUGAAGUCUUCGGAUGGAUUUGAGUAAGAGCAUAGCUGUUGGGACCCGAAAGAUGGUGAACUAUGCUUGAAUAGGGUGAAGCCAGAGGAAACUCUGGUGGAGGCUCGCAGCGGUUCUGACGUGCAAAUCGAUCGUCAAAUUUGGGCAUAGGGGCGAAAGACUAAUCG